Molecule: transfer RNA, 64 nt
Filed under: Antialcidas floripennae
Lineage: Eukaryota; Metazoa; Arthropoda; Insecta; Hemiptera; Membracidae
Description: tRNA-Asn
Source: RNAcentral
UUAAUUGAGGCCAAAGUAGAGGCAUUCUAUUGUUAAUAGAACUAUUGAAUAUAAUCCAAUUAAU